This is a long non-coding RNA of Anolis carolinensis (green anole), 2480 nucleotides long. RefSeq lists it as uncharacterized. Lineage: Eukaryota; Metazoa; Chordata; Lepidosauria; Squamata; Anolidae. The transcript has 2 exons. The record is from RefSeq and is a predicted model, not a curated record.
CACUUCUAACAAAGUUCAUUGAUGAAACACCAUGCAUGACAGCUGGAAGUCUGUCUGCUUGAUGGGCUCCAUGGUACUUUGUCUAUAAACUGUUUUAGAAGUGCGUGGAAAAUAGGGCAGGGAGAGGGGUUCUUGCAUAUGAUGAAGUCCUGAGUCUCAAUCAGUACUGGGACAUGUUAGAUCCUUUAACCAAAAUUAUUAUUUGUUGUUUGUCUUUCUGCUCAGGUUCAGAGUUCAGUCCAGCUUGCUCCUCACCUGGGAAAUAUAGCAGGCCUGAUAGUCCUACAGAAGAGUAGCAUAAGAUAAGGUUCGGGACCUGCCUAUCUUCGUGACUGCGUCGUCCCCUAUGAACCUACCCGACCGCUGAGAUCUUCUGGGGAGGCCCUUCUCUCACUUCCACCCUCCUCACAACUGCAUUUGGUGGGGACGAGAGAGAGGGCCUUCUCGGCCGUGGCUCCCCGACUCUGGAACUCCCUCCCCAGGGAGAUUAGGUUGGCUCCCUCUCUACCUUCCUUCAGGAAACAACUGAAGACUUGGAUGUUUUGGCAGGCCUUUGGAGAUACAGUCAUUAAUUAAUCAGCCCCAGAGGGUUUUAAAUAAUCUAUCCCAUUUUUAUUACGAUUUUACCAUUUAUGUGUUUUAAAUGCCAUCUUUUAUCCUGUAUUUUUGUUUUAAUUGAUAUAUUGUAUUGCUGUUUUAUCUUUUUAUAGUGUGAUUUGUAUUAUGUUGCCUAUGUUUUGUUCUAUGUUGUUUGGCCCUCUGCCCCAUGUAAGCUGCCCCGAGUCCCCGCGGGGAGAUGGUGGCAGGGUAUAAAGUUUUUAUUAUUAUUAUUAUUAUUAUUAUUAUUAUUAUUAUUAUUAUUAUUAUUAUUAUUAUUAUCCUGCCAAAUUGAAGAGAAGUUUUAGUCCCCUUUGAUAUAAUUGGGAAUUGCCAUUCCCCCAAUUUUAGAUCAAGUGGUUUAUUGGCUUUUGGCAAUGCAUGAAGGAGCUUUUUUCUAGUUGCGUUUGUAAGUGAAAUUUGUCCUAUGAAACAAGCUCUUUUAUUUCACUAAUGUAACUAUCUAAUGAAAGACAUUUCUUCUUAACAAGGUUUUCAACAUUGCUUUUGUUGGAAUGAAUGCACUAAUAUGUAGUUAUUUGUAUUUGUACUCCUUGAUACUGAUUUUAACCAGGCCAUUACAUUUUAUUGAUGGAUCAUGAUUAUUUUAUUUCUAUUGUUAUUUUUAAAAUGGUUGGUGUGGUUCCUUUUAGGUUGAGAAAAAUGGUUUAUACAGGUGUGGAUUCAGGAACUCAAAACUGCAAGUGGAGUUGUAGUGUCCUUCAAUAUAAAACCAAGCAAUAAAUUCUGCACUGACUAUACUAGGUGACUUUUCUCCAAUGGAUUCUGCAUAUUGCCUAGCAAUUAUCAGAUUUCAAUAAAAGAAAAAAAUCCAAAGAAAACAGAUAAGUAAAUAAUUUUUAAAAAUGAAGCCAUUGUGAAGUUCUCUUUGUGAAAUAAUGAUCAGUUCAUCACCAAGGGCCUUCUCUCUGGUUUCUUUCAGAAAUAAACUGAGCAUUUUCUCUCAAACUCAAGAAAAUUAAGGCUGGAGAGUGGAAAGAGAAAGCUGGAGGCAAUGAGUCCUGUAGAAGGAAGAUAAAACACUCGCCAAGUUGACAUGCUUCAAAUGAGGAUGCUGUUUAUGACUAAUGGUCCAAAAGAAAAUAACAGGAAGCAAGCAAAAUCCCAAGCAUUAGAGAACAGACUUUGCAAGAUGCAGCCUGGAGCCCUGUUUUGUUUCUGGUUUUUCAAGGAAUUGUACAAUUAAUAACAACACACACAUGUCUUGUGAUUUAUUCCAAAAUGGUUGUCAUAUUUUUUAAUCUCUGUUGAAAUGUCUGGAUGCAUUUAUAUGGUAUCCUUCAAGAAGUGAAAUAAAAGAUGCCACAAGGCAAGGGGAUGAAGGAAAAAAGAUAUUGAACUAACAAGAAAGUGUGUUUACAGAUCUCAGCAGUCAACAUUAUACAUAAAAAAUAGCUACUACCAAAGAAGAGAACUAGAUAAUUUAGCAUAGCAUGUCCAGAAUUUUCAGACAAGUUGUUAGUUCAGCUUGAUUUUCUAGACACCCACUGUAUAUAUAUUGUCAUGUUGUUUGCUUUAUGUUUUUUUUAAUUUUGCGGAAAUUGCCCCACCCCCCUUUUAAUACAGCUGCAUGCCAAGUCAAGCUGUCCUUUAAGUAUUACACCUGCUGUAUAAUUAUCCCUCCCUGAUAACUUGAUAUUGCUUUGCACCUUGGCCUGGAUCUUUUGACCCAAAUCAGGAUUUUAAUAUUAUUGUGUAUAUUGACUUUUAUGACUGUUUUUAAUCAUGUUGAAGUUUUACUGCUCGGUUUAAUGUUUUAUCUGAUUUGUACUGUCGUGUCUGGGCAUGGCCCCAUGUAAGCCGCCCCGAGUCCCUCCGGGGAGAUGGGGCGGGAUAUAAGAAUAAAAUUAUUAUUAUUAUUA